AGUUAAAAUUAUAGCCAAACAAACCUAAACUACCAAAAAACAAAACAAACCAUUUAAUUUAAUAGUAUGGGCGAUAGAAAUUUAUUAUGAGCAAUAAAAAAAAGUACCGUAAGGGAAAGAUGAAAUAAAAAUGAAAUAAAUAAUAAAAACAAAAGAAAGAAAAGACUAAACCCUGUACCUUUUGCAUAAUGGUCUAGCAAGUCCAACCUAACAAAAAGAAAUAAAGUUAGCCACCCCGAAACUAGACGAGCUACUUAAGAGCAGCAUUAACCAGAGCCAACCCGUCUCUGUGGCAAAAGAGUGGGAUGACUUUUGAGUAGAGGUGAAAAGCCUAACGAGCCUAGUGAUAGCUGGUUACUUGAGAAAUGAAUAUUAGUUCAGCUUAAAGCAUCUUUAUUAUUAAAAAAAUAAAAAUAGCACUUUAAAGUUAAUUAAUAGGGGUACAGCCCUAUUAAUAAAGGAUACAACCUACAUAAUGAAUAAAGAUUAUAUCAACAAAAGAAAUUAACCGCGUAGGCCUAAAAGCAGCCACCACAAGAAAGCGUCAAAGCUCAACUUAACAACCCCCUUAUUAUACUAAUAAAAAAAUCUAAAUUCACAAAACAUAUCAAGCCCAUCUACUAGUAGAUAAGUUUAUACUAGAAUGAGUAACAAGAACAAAUUCUCUACAUGCAAGCGUAAAUCAGAACGAAAGUAUCACUGAUAAUUAACAACUUUAAAUACCCAACAACAAGAAAAACACAUUAAAACAAUUGUUAACCCAACACAGGAGCAUUAAAAAAGAUUUAAAGAUUAAAAAGGAACUCGGCAACCAUAGAGCUCCGCCUGUUUACCAAAAACAUCGCCUCUUGCCCUCCCAAUAUAAGAGGUCCCGCCUGCCCAGUGAUUAAUUUUAACGGCCGCGGUAUCAUGACCGUGCAAAGGUAGCGUAAUCACUUGUCUUUUAAAUAAAGACCUGUAUGAAAGGCAAAACGAAAGCUCAACUGUCUCUUUAAUCUAAUCAGU
This 1005-nucleotide ribosomal RNA is filed under the name Paramesotriton zhijinensis. RNAcentral's name for it is "partial 16S ribosomal RNA". The stretch from base 163 to 1005 matches the Rfam family "Bacterial large subunit ribosomal RNA", at positions 573 to 2037 of the family's 2925-position model. The record is from RNAcentral. Lineage: Eukaryota; Metazoa; Chordata; Amphibia; Caudata; Salamandridae.